UCCUUGGGUGGCGAGUGCCGGACGGCUGACGAAAACGUCGGAAUCUGCCUAUUUGUGGGGGAUAACGUAGGGAAACUUACGCUAAUACCGCAUACGACCUACGGGUGAAAGCGGAGGACCUUCGGGCUUCGCGCAGAUAGAUGAGCCGACGUCGGAUUAGCUAGUUGGCGGGGUAAAGGCCCACCAAGGCGACGAUCCGUAGCUGGUCUGAGAGGAUGAUCAGCCACACUGGAACUGAGACACGGUCCAGACUCCUACGGGAGGCAGCAGUGGGGAAUAUUGGACAAUGGGCGCAAGCCUGAUCCAGCCAUGCCGCGUGUGUGAAGAAGGCCUUCGGGUUGUAAAGCACUUUUGUCCGGAAAGAAAAGCACUGGGUUAAUACCCUGGUGUCAUGACGGUACCGGAAGAAUAAGCACCGGCUAACUUCGUGCCAGCAGCCGCGGUAAUACGAAGGGUGCAAGCGUUACUCGGAAUUACUGGGCGUAAAGCGUGCGUAGGCGGUUUGUUAAGUCUGAUGUGAAAGCCCCGGGCUCAACCUGGGAAUGGCAUUGGAUACUGGCAAUCUAGAAUGUGGUAGAGGGUGGCGGAAUUCCCGGUGUAGCAGUGAAAUGCGUAGAUAUCGGGAGGAACAUCCGUGGCGAAGGCGGCCACCUGGACCAACAUUGACGCUGAGGCACGAAAGCGUGGGGAGCAAACAGGAUUAG
RNAcentral lists this ribosomal RNA (704 nucleotides) under uncultured bacterium. RNAcentral's name for it is "bacterial SSU rRNA". It matches the Rfam family "Bacterial small subunit ribosomal RNA", at positions 81 to 781 of the family's 1533-position model. The record is from RNAcentral.